This is a non-coding RNA of Paramuricea clavata, 859 nucleotides long. NCBI's taxonomy places the organism in Eukaryota, Metazoa, Cnidaria, Anthozoa, Malacalcyonacea, Plexauridae. The record is from the annotation of a GenBank genome assembly.
GUGUAUCCCACAUUGCAUUGCGUAUACCUAAUAAUGAUGUUUUGACGGUUGAAAAUUGCGUGACGUAAGCAUAUUAUAUUCACGUUAAUCUAGCUUAAUAUCUAUAUGAUGAUUCAUGAGAUAAUUUUAUUCUGUUUAAUUAAAAUAACAAAGAAAUGCAGCGAAGCAGUAAACUGCGUGCAACGUAAGCUUCGACAAAACUCACAAGCAUUAGACUUUAAAAUAGUCUUUGUGCUUUGGUUUCGAACCCCAAAAGAUCAUGAAAUCGACGUUUUCUUUCUUCCUUUUCCUUAGAAGGUGAGAGUCAGGCUUUAUCUUUUGCAUGGAAGGUGAGAGUCAGGCUUUUCCCUAAACUAAUAGUAGAGAAAAAAAAGAUUUAAAAACUAUUGUGCUUUGCUUUCGAACCCCAAAGGUCAUGCAUGAAAUCGAUGUUUUGUCGGACUUUAUCAACGAAUUAAAUACCUAUUGCAAAUUAUAAAAUGUUCUGCUUGCUUGCGUCUUUUCAUUAAUAACCAUUCUCGUACCCAGACCCCUUCUUACGCGCGGUGCGACGAGGGGCUCUGGUCAAAUCCAUAACCGGAUACCAUAAAAACAUGGUAAGAAAACAAUGUCCAGUGUUAGAACUAGCCAAUCAGAUGCCAGUUCGGAAUAUGGAUUUGGCCAGAGCCCCUCGUCGCACCGCGCGUAAGAAGGGCUCUGGGUACGAGAAUGAUUAAUAACUUCUUAUUAAUUAAAUAUUUCUAGUUGAUAAAGAUAUUGGACCGAGGUCUUUUUUGUAUAGACCGAGCCCGUAGGGCGAGGUUUGUACAAAAAGACCGAGGUCCGAAUAUUUCUCUUUAAAUACCGAGCAAGCGAGAUU